This 1471-nucleotide long non-coding RNA is filed under the name Nicotiana tabacum (common tobacco). Its description in RNAcentral is "long non-coding RNA (NTAB_LNC014258)". Lineage: Eukaryota; Viridiplantae; Streptophyta; Magnoliopsida; Solanales; Solanaceae. The record is from RNAcentral.
GCAACUAAUUCCUCCUUUUAUUUUCAUACCCAUGAGAAUCCCUCAGUCUAAAAUACAUAAGAAUAAGAAGAAAAAAAGUCUCACUCUGUUCCAAACAACAAAAUCAUGUGUAUCUAUUAAUACCCAAAUCAUCCCUACAUAAAAUGCCCACUCCAUUCAGCGUCUUCAGCAGUCGAUGGAAACUCAAUUUCCUGCUAGGAGUAAGAUCUGUUGUUUUCUUAAUUUUUGAAUUAUUCUAUUUAAGCAUUUAGAGGAAAGAAAAGGUUGAACAGAUACUUUACGUUUUUACUUGUUCAGAUUAUACUAAUUUAAAAAACCUUUGUUAAAUGAAGUAAUUUCGGUUCGUUCUUUUCAUUUAAUAAGCUGGGUGUUCAGCCAUGGUGUUAUUCUUGUCAUUUAAUCUUGAUUUUCUAUACAUGUUUUUGGAUACGGAUAGUUUGCUACUUCUCGCUGGUGGGAUGUUUUAUUUAGGAAGGAGAAUUCAAGGUUUCGCGCCAUUUCUGUGCGGUAAUUUGUCAAAUAAUAGUCCAAAUAUAGAAGAGAUAGAGGAGAAAAAAGACAGAUUUCUACUUUGAGAGUUUAAUUAAGUGAGGACACGUGGAGAUCUGUUAGGGCUAAGGUCAAUUUUACCUACUUUGUUAACUUUAGGAGUAGAUUUGGACAAAAGAUAUAACAUAGGACAAAUGUAAACUAUAUACCAUAAUAUAAGGGUAAAUUCGGACUUUCUCCCUAUAAAAAUUAGGGGUUGUAAUGCCACGUGUCCUACCGUUAAACCCAGAUGUAUAUUUGUAUAACAGUGAAGACAACUAUAGAUGGAUAAUUCGUUAAAGGGGUAAUUUUAAAUUAUUUUUAAUAGUAUAGGAAUAUAUUUGGUCCUUUUCCGUAAAAUAUAACAUCGAAAUUUAUUCAGUCAACACAAUAAAUUUCAAUCAAUGAAAAAUUAUGAUCCAACACAUCCAAAGUUUGCUUAGGUCCAGAAUUGAAGUAAAUACUCAGAACAACUUCUCCACUUGUUUGCGUUUUCUAUAAUCUCUAAAAUAUAUGGUAAAGUUGUUAAAAAAAGAUUUGUUUAACAACAAAGUAAAACUAUAUCCUAGACUAACAUUGUCUGCCGUUUUCUUUUUCUAUUUCUUGACAAGUUACCACAAUGUUUUAAAAAGCUUUUUGGGGGCUCGCCCUUGGGCGGGGCACUUUCAAAACGCCUUGAGACUCACGCGUGGGGUUUAGUUCCGUGAAGCUUACACUUCAAACAUCCCAUUGUGCGCUCAUAACAUGCCUAACAUGGGACUCGCCCAACAGUUCUUACUCAAAUUAUAUGUCAAAAUUCCUAAUUAGCAUUGUAAAAGGGCAGCCCGAUGCACUAAACUCUCGCUAUAUGCAGGGUCCGGGGAAGAGGCAGACCACAAGGGUCUAUCGUACGCAAUCUUACCCAACAUUUCUGCAAGAGGCUGUUUCCACGGCUCGAACCCGU